GUGCCUCCCUCCCUAGAAUGUAAUCCCACCGCUGGAGACUUCUCCACCCUCUGGUAUCUGAGGAUAGCCUGAGUGAAAUCCUUUCCAGGUAGAGAUUUUUUUUUUUUUUUGAUUUAUUUAUUUGAGAAGUAGAGUUACAGAUGGAGACAGUUCACUCCUCAAAUGGCCGCAAAGGCCGGAAUUUAGCUCAUCCGAAGCCAGGAGCCAAGAGCUUCUUCUGAGCCAGGAGCUUCUUCCGGGUCUCUCAUGCUCACGCGGGACCAGAGCACCUGGGCCAUCUUCCGCUGCUUUCCCAGGCCGUAAGCGGCGAGCUGGAUCUGAAGAGGAGCUGCCCAGACUCAGACUGCCACCCACAUGGGAUGCUGGCACCUUAGGCAGAAGCUUAGCCCACUACGCCACAGGCCGACCCCAGAGAUUCACCUUUUUUUUUUUUUUUUAAAGAUUUAUUUAUUUAUUUGAAAGGCAGAGUUACAGAGAGGCAGACACAGACAGGAAGGUGUUCCAUCCGCUGGUUCACUCCCCAAAUGGCUGGAGCUGGAGUUGGGCGGACCCAAAGACAGGACCCAGGAGCUUCUUCCAGGACUGCCACAUGGGUCCAGGGGCCUAAGCGCUUGGUUCUUCUUCCACUGCUUUCCCAGGCCGUAGCAGUGAGCUGGAUUGGAAGCGGAGCAGCUGGGAUUCGAAGUGGCGCCCGUAUGAGAUGCUGGCCCUGCCGGCGGCGGCUUUACAGGAUAUGCCACAGCCCUUGCCCCAGAUUCACUUUUGAAUGAGCGCCUAGGCCUGGUUCCAGAGCAAUAGUUCUCAAAGUGUGACCUCUGUGGUCCUGCAACUUUGCUAUCGCCGGAAACUUGUUAAAAACACAGAACUGCCAGCAAGUGGGAGCAGCUAUCUAAUUUAAUCAGCCCUCCAUGUGAGUCUGAGCAUAGCUGUUGGAGAGUCCCAGGCCUAAACUGGUCCCACAGUAUUUGGGACCUUUAUCAGUGAACUGAGGCAAAAGGCACUAAGGAGAACGAAACUUCAGCAGCUCCUCUCACCAUUCUUCCCAGGAGACCACCUACUCUGCUUGUAGCCAGAGCCAUUCCACCCAUGGGUUCCAAGCUGCUGAAUGGUGUGGGAACCUGAAAAUGAAAGGGUAUAUGGAUAAUUGAAUUAUGGAGAAAUCGCCAAGAGAACAACAAUGAGCUGAUGGUAACUUGUCAACUGUCAGUAUGUAAACACUUGGUGAGUAGAG
This is a non-coding RNA of Oryctolagus cuniculus (rabbit), 1231 nucleotides long. The record is from RefSeq and is a predicted model, not a curated record. Lineage: Eukaryota; Metazoa; Chordata; Mammalia; Lagomorpha; Leporidae.